AAAGCAAGUCGAGCGAACAGAAGGGAGCUUGCUCCCGGAUGUUAGCGGCGGACGGGUGAGUAACACGUGGGUAACCUGCCUGUAAGACUGGGAUAACUCCGGGAAACCGGAGCUAAUACCGGAUAGUUCCUUGAACCGCAUGGUUCAAGGAUGAAAGACGGUUUCGGCUGUCACUUACAGAUGGACCCGCGGCGCAUUAGCUAGUUGGUGGGGUAAUGGCUCACCAAGGCGACGAUGCGUAGCCGACCUGAGAGGGUGAUCGGCCACACUGGGACUGAGACACGGCCCAGACUCCUACGGGAGGCAGCAGUAGGGAAUCUUCCGCAAUGGACGAAAGUCUGACGGAGCAACGCCGCGUGAGUGAUGAAGGUUUUCGGAUCGUAAAGCUCUGUUGUUAGGGAAGAACAAGUGCGAGAGUAACUGCUCGCACCUUGACGGUACCUAACCAGAAAGCCACGGCUAACUACGUGCCAGCAGCCGCGGUAAUACGUAGGUGGCAAGCGUUGUCCGGAAUUAUUGGGCGUAAAGGGCUCGCAGGCGGUUUCUUAAGUCUGAUGUGAAAGCCCCCGGCUCAACCGGGGAGGGUCAUUGGAAACUGGGAAACUUGAGUGCAGAAGAGGAGAGUGGAAUUCCACGUGUAGCGGUGAAAUGCGUAGAGAUGUGGAGGAACACCAGUGGCGAAGGCGACUCUCUGGUCUGUAACUGACGCUGAGGAGCGAAAGCGUGGGGAGCGAACAGGAUUAGAUACCCUGGUAGUCCACGCCGUAAACGAUGAGUGCUAAGUGGUUAGGGGGUUUCCGCCCCUUAGUGCUGCAGCUAACGCAUUAAGCACUCCGCCUGGGGAGUACGGUCGCAAGACUGAAACUCAAAGGAAUUGACGGGGGCCCGCACAAGCGGUGGAACAUGUGGUUUAAUUCGAAGCAACGCGAAGAACCUU
Molecule: ribosomal RNA, 937 nt
Filed under: Bacillus sp. (in: firmicutes)
Lineage: Bacteria; Bacillati; Bacillota; Bacilli; Caryophanales; Bacillaceae
Description: bacterial SSU rRNA
Rfam family: Bacterial small subunit ribosomal RNA
Source: RNAcentral